CAGCAGCCACGGGAAAACGGAGGGGGCUAGCGUUGUUCGGAAUUACUGGGCGUAAAGCGCACGUAGGCGGCUUGGUAAGUUAGAGGUGAAAGCCCAGGGCUCAACCCUGGAAUUGCCUUUAAGACUGCCGAGCUAGUAGGUGAGAGAGGUGAGUGGAAUUCCGAGUGUAGAGGUGAAAUUCGUAGAUAUUCGGAAGAACACCAGUGGCGAAGGCGGCUCACUGGCUCAUUCUAGACGCUGAGGUGCGAAAGCGUGGGGAGCAAACAGGAUUAGAUACCCCCGUAGUCCCUGUCUCUUAUAC
RNAcentral lists this ribosomal RNA (301 nucleotides) under uncultured bacterium. RNAcentral describes it as "partial 16S ribosomal RNA". It matches the Rfam family "Bacterial small subunit ribosomal RNA", at positions 509 to 807 of the family's 1533-position model. The record is from RNAcentral.